This 433-nucleotide ribosomal RNA is filed under the name uncultured bacterium. RNAcentral's name for it is "partial 16S ribosomal RNA". It matches the Rfam family "Bacterial small subunit ribosomal RNA", at positions 28 to 507 of the family's 1533-position model. The record is from RNAcentral.
GGCGAACGCUGGCGGCAGGCCUAACACAUGCAAGUCGAACGGAUCCUUCGGGAUUAGUGGCGGACGGGUGAGUAACACGUGGGAACGUGCCCUUUGGUUCGGAACAACUCAGGGAAACUUGAGCUAAUACCGGCUGUGCCCUUCGGGGGAAAGAUUUAUCGCCAUUGGAGCGGCCCGCGUCUGAUUAGCUAGUUGGUGAGGUAACGGCCCACCAAGGCGACGAUCAGUAGCUGGUCUGAGAGGAUGAUCAGCCACACUGGGACUGAGACACGGCCCAGACUCCGACGGGAGGCAGCAGUGGGGAAUCUUGCGCAAUGGGCGAAAGCCUGACGCAGCCAUGCCGCGUGAAUGAAGAAGGUCUUAGGAUUGUAAAAUUCUUUCAGCGGGGACGAUAAUGACGGUACCCGCAGAAGAAGCUCCGGCUAACUUCGUG